GCUGGAAGAAGUCUGGAAGGGAUUCGGAGAACAGCUGAUAUUCGUAGAAAGUUGGCUGGCGGCGGAGCUUAGUGGGCACUUAGGGCGGCUUAAUAGAUAACUAGGGAAACUCAUGUUGAAGGAGCUCGGGUGGUGUAGUGGGAGUUCGUCCGUCGGGGGAAUCCAGUCAGCACUGUGGGAAUCCGGCUGUUGGAGAAGUCCGGAGAGAUACCAUCUGCGGCCGAAAGCCGGAGGAGUC
Molecule: long non-coding RNA, 238 nt
Filed under: Elaeis guineensis (African oil palm)
Lineage: Eukaryota; Viridiplantae; Streptophyta; Magnoliopsida; Arecales; Arecaceae
Description: long non-coding RNA (EGUI_LNC047014)
Source: RNAcentral